GGGUGGAGAUGGUCGAAACAGGGUUGAAACAGGCGAAAACCAGUUGUUCGUCUGGUUUUCGCCUGUUUCAACCCUGUUUCGACCUUCUCCACCCUGU
This 97-nucleotide microRNA precursor is filed under the name Beta vulgaris subsp. vulgaris (sugar beet). RNAcentral describes it as "pre miRNA MIR408". Lineage: Eukaryota; Viridiplantae; Streptophyta; Magnoliopsida; Caryophyllales; Amaranthaceae. The record is from RNAcentral.